ACCUACGGGACGCAGCAGUGGGGAAUAUUGGGCAGUGGGCGCAAGCCUGACCCAGCAACGCCGCGUGAAGGAAGAAGGCUUUCUGGUUGUAAACCUCUUUUCUCAGGGACGAAGAAAGUGACGGUACCUGAGGAAUAAGCCACGGCUAACUACGUGCCAGCAGCCGCGGUAAUACGUAGGUGGCAAGCGUUAUCCGGAUUUACUGGGUGUAAAGGGCGUGUAGGCGGGAAAGCAAGUCGGAUGUGAAAACCACGGGCUCAACCUGUGGCCUGCACUUG
This 278-nucleotide ribosomal RNA is filed under the name uncultured bacterium. Its description in RNAcentral is "partial 16S ribosomal RNA". It matches the Rfam family "Bacterial small subunit ribosomal RNA", at positions 337 to 629 of the family's 1533-position model. The record is from RNAcentral.